GGAAUCUUCCGCAAUGGGCGAAAGCCUGACGGAGCAACGCCGCGUGAGUGAUGAAGGUUGUCGGAUCGUAAAGCUCUGUUGCCAGGGAAGAACGUCUUGUAGAGUAACUGCUACAAGAGUGACGGUACCUGAGAAGAAAGCCCCGGCUAACUACGUGCCAGCAGCCGCGGUAAUACGUAGGGGGCAAGCGUUGUCCGGAAUUAUUGGGCGUAAAGCGCGCGCAGGCGGCUCUUUAAGUCUGGUGUUUAAUCCCGAGGCUCAACUUCGGGUCGCACUGGAAACUGGAGAGCUUGAGUGCAGAAGAGGAGAGUGGAAUUCCACGUGUAGCGGUGAAAUGCGUAGAGAUGUGGAGGAACACCAGUGGCGAAGGCGACUCUCUGGGCUGUAACUGACGCUGAGGCGCGAAAGCGUGGGGAGCAAACAGGA
RNAcentral lists this unclassified non-coding RNA (426 nucleotides) under plant metagenome. RNAcentral describes it as "partial contains 5.8S ribosomal RNA, internal transcribed spacer 2, and large subunit ribosomal RNA". It matches the Rfam family "Bacterial small subunit ribosomal RNA", at positions 358 to 777 of the family's 1533-position model. The record is from RNAcentral.